UGGGGAAUAUUGGACAAUGGGCGGAAGCCUGAUCCAGCAAUGCCGCGUGUGUGAAGAAGGCCUGCGGGUUGUAAAGCACUUUCAGUGGGGAGGAGAGGCUACGGGCUAAUACCCUGUAGAAGAGACGUUACCCACAGAAGAAGCACCGGCUAACUCUGUGCCAGCAGCCGCGGUAAUACAGAGGGUGCAAGCGUUAAUCGGAAUUACUGGGCGUAAAGGGUGCGUAGGUGGUUGAAUAAGUUAGGUGUGAAAGUCCUGGGCUUAACCUGGGGAUUGCGCCUAAUACUGUUGAGCUAGAGUACUGUAGAGGAAGGUGGAAUUUCCGGUGUAGCGGUGAAAUGCGUAGAUAUCGGAAGGAACAUCAGUGGCGAAGGCGACUUUCUGGACAGAUACUGACACUGAGGCACGAAAGCGUGGGGAGCAAACAGGAUUAGAUACCCCUGUAGUCC
RNAcentral lists this ribosomal RNA (449 nucleotides) under uncultured bacterium. RNAcentral's name for it is "bacterial SSU rRNA". It matches the Rfam family "Bacterial small subunit ribosomal RNA", at positions 355 to 796 of the family's 1533-position model. The record is from RNAcentral.